This 74-nucleotide transfer RNA is filed under the name Dictyobacter kobayashii. RNAcentral's name for it is "tRNA-Val". It matches the Rfam family "tRNA". Rfam says of the family: Transfer RNA (tRNA) molecules are approximately 80 nucleotides in length. Their secondary structure includes four short double-helical elements and three loops (D, anti-codon, and T loops). Lineage: Bacteria; Bacillati; Chloroflexota; Ktedonobacteria; Ktedonobacterales; Dictyobacteraceae. The record is from RNAcentral.
GGGCGCUUAGCUCAGUGGUAGAGCGCUUCCUUCACACGGAAGAGGUCACUGGUUCGAUACCAGUAGCGCCCACC